Molecule: long non-coding RNA, 996 nt
Organism: Labeo rohita (rohu)
Lineage: Eukaryota; Metazoa; Chordata; Actinopteri; Cypriniformes; Cyprinidae
Exons: 6
Source: RefSeq, a predicted model, not a curated record
GGGAUGGGACAGCAUCUGGAGCUGAACCGUUCUCCUUUUUUGAUCAGAAGUUUUGUUGGACUCACUUGGGACGUUGUUGUUUUGCCAUGUUGUGAAAAUUCUUCACUGUCAUUGUGGUAUUUGGAACAAUUUAAUUAUGACCAUGUUGGUUAACUUGAUGUUAGUAAAACUUUGGCUCAAUGUUGGUAAAACUUAAAGUUAAGGGUAAUAUACACUCAAAAAAAUGGUUUUGUGCCACUGUUCAUUUUACCCAGGUAUUUAUUGUUAAAACAACACAAGUGUAUUUCUUUUUCCACCAAAACACUAUUGUAUUGUGCUCUAUUAAUUUAAACUGUUUAAGUUUCCAUUUUACUUGAUUAUCAAUCGUUAAACUAACGUAAACGGUUUAAUUUCGCCGUUCAAAAAACCGGAUAUGACGUUUCCAACGCAUUUUAUGAAGACGGCGCGAAGGAGGUGUAUCAUGGCGUCGGAGCUAGAAGUACCAGUCAGCAUACAUUGAUCACUGGUUUCUUCAUCGCUGCCUAAUUUUGGCGAAAUGAAGGAAUGUCACAACUUUACUGACGGAGAAAAAAAGUUUUGGCUAAGAGGAAUGCACGCAGUUGUAAAUGUGAACUGGUGGAUGGUUAAGAAGCUGAUGUGUCUUCUAGAAAUCUAAACAAAUUUGUGCAGAAUAUGAGACAGGCAGAAUAACCAUAGGCCCAUUAGUGUCAACUGUCUUUGCCAAUGGGUGGAUCCACACUGCAAAACUUAUGAAGAUGAUUGCAAACCGAAGAACAGUCCUUGGACAAAGCAUUAAACCCUCUUGGUCCCCACUACACAGACUAAUGACGUUGAAGUACCCAAAUGAAGACACUAGCAGUGUUAUUAUGGAGUAUAUGGAUACAGACGUUGGCAGCACUCAGGAGGUGAUCCAGAGGAAUCAUGGGAAUCUAUGUCAUACGAUUUGAAGGUGCAGACAUUGAAGACAGCACAGCAGAUGUUGGAGUGUUGGAAGAU